UGGGGAAUAUUGCACAAUGGGCGCAAGCCUGAUGCAGCGACGCCGCGUGGGGGAUGACGGCCUUCGGGUUGUAAACUCCUUUCGCUAGGGACGAAGCUUUUUGUGACGGUACCUAGAUAAGAAGCACCGGCUAACUACGUGCCAGCAGCCGCGGUAAUACGUAGGGUGCGAGCGUUGUCCGGAAUUACUGGGCGUAAAUGGCUCGUAGGUGGUUUGUCGCGUCGUCUGUGAAAUUCCGGGGCUUAACUCCGGGCGUGCAGGCGAUACGGGCAUAACUUGAGUACUGUAGGGGUAACUGGAAUUCCUGGUGUAGCGGUGAAAUGCGCAGAUAUCAGGAGGAACACCGAUGGCGAAGGCAGGUUACUGGGCAGUUACUGACGCUGAGGAGCGAAAGCAUGGGUAGCGAACAGG
This 411-nucleotide ribosomal RNA is filed under the name Actinomycetes bacterium. RNAcentral's name for it is "Actinobacteria bacterium partial 16S ribosomal RNA". It matches the Rfam family "Bacterial small subunit ribosomal RNA", at positions 355 to 776 of the family's 1533-position model. The record is from RNAcentral. Lineage: Bacteria; Bacillati; Actinomycetota; Actinomycetes.